Molecule: ribosomal RNA, 254 nt
Filed under: uncultured prokaryote
Description: partial 16S ribosomal RNA
Rfam family: Bacterial small subunit ribosomal RNA
Source: RNAcentral
ACGGGGGGAGCAAGCGUUGUUCGGAUUUACUGGGCGUAAAGGGCGCGUAGGCGGCCUGUGCAAGUCAGUUGUGAAAUCUCCGGGCUUAACUCGGAACGGUCUACUGAUACUGCUCGGCUAGAGUGCGGAAGGGGCAACUGGAAUUCUUGGUGUAGCGGUGAAAUGCGUAGAUAUCAAGAGGAACACCUGCGGCGAAGGCGGGUUGCUGGGCCGACACUGACGCUGAUGCGCGAAAGCUAGGGGAGCGAACGGGA